Molecule: ribosomal RNA, 471 nt
Filed under: uncultured bacterium
Lineage: Bacteria
Description: bacterial SSU rRNA
Rfam family: Bacterial small subunit ribosomal RNA
Source: RNAcentral
GACGAACGCUGGCGGCGUGCUUAACACAUGCAAGUCGAACGGGACUAUUAUGAAGGAGUUUUCGGACAACGGAAUAGUAGUUUAGUGGCGGACUGGUGAGUAACGCGUGAGGAACCUGCCUUUCAGAGGGGGACAACAGCUGGAAACGGCUGCUAAUACCGCAUGAAGCAUUGCUGGGACAUCCCGGGAAUGCCAAAGAUUUAUCGCUGAAAGAUGGCCUCGCGUCUGAUUAGCUAGUUGGUGAGGUAACGGCCCACCAAGGCGACGAUCAGUAGCCGGACUGAGAGGUUGACCGGCCACAUUGGGACUGAGAUACGGCCCAGACUCCUACGGGAGGCAGCAGUGGGGAAUAUUGGGCAAUGGGCGAAAGCCUGACCCAGCAACGCCGCGUGAAGGAAGAAGGCUUUCGGGUUGUAAACUUCUUUGACAGGGGAAGAGUAGAAGACGGUACCCUGAAAACAAGCCACGGCU